CGGAGGACAUUGUCAGGUGG
This 20-nucleotide non-coding RNA is filed under the name Arabidopsis thaliana (thale cress). The record is from RNAcentral. Lineage: Eukaryota; Viridiplantae; Streptophyta; Magnoliopsida; Brassicales; Brassicaceae.